Molecule: microRNA precursor, 103 nt
Organism: Chlorocebus sabaeus (green monkey)
Lineage: Eukaryota; Metazoa; Chordata; Mammalia; Primates; Cercopithecidae
Source: Ensembl
AAAUAUUAAGUUGGUGCAAAAGUAAUUGCGGUUUUUGCCAUUUAAAUUAAUUUUAAUGGCAAAAAACUGCAAUUACCUUUGCACCAACCUAUAUUAAAUAAAA